Molecule: long non-coding RNA, 652 nt
Organism: Capsella rubella
Lineage: Eukaryota; Viridiplantae; Streptophyta; Magnoliopsida; Brassicales; Brassicaceae
Exons: 5
Source: RefSeq, a predicted model, not a curated record
GUUACUUUCGUGUACACUAUACUUGUUUCAUCUGUUCAUCUCGCUAGAUUGGUUUAUCUGCUUGCCUGUCGAAAAGUUAAGUUCAUGGCGAUGUUCCGAUUCCUAGAAACGGGGAGAUGGAAGAUCUACAAUGGCUUUGGUCUGGAAUUGAUUCGCAGACUAUAGAAGUGCUGUCUGUGGCAUGCAUUAUAACGGUUUUAAGUGUUGCGUGUGCUGCGGUCAUCGAAGAGAACAAUCUAACCGGUAACCUUUUCUAUAAUUGAUUUCAAUGUAACAAUAAAGUGGAAUAAAUUUUGAGAGCUUGAGUGAAACUAUGUCCAGGUUAGUUAGUUAUUUUAUCCUGAGUUUCCCUUUUUUUGGGGAGUGAUUAUAUCGCUGUACAUUAGUUCUAACUGUAUUUUUUUGCAUAAAAUUUGCAGAAUGAGACUUCUAAUGACGCUAAGAAGCGAAAUCUGUUGUUACAUCGACAUCUAGAUAAGCUAUUAGAUCCUGAGCAGGGCAGGAAGCGUGAGUAUACUAAUUCCAAAACCGGGUUGUCAAGAUAAAAUUAAUAAAAUGAAGAUGAAAGUAAAGUAAAGAUCUUCAAAUAAAACUGUGGGGAAAAAAUGUUUGCCUAAGAAUGUAUAUAGCUUUACAUUUGCGAGUCACAAAU